This 305-nucleotide ribosomal RNA is filed under the name uncultured bacterium. Its description in RNAcentral is "bacterial SSU rRNA". It matches the Rfam family "Bacterial small subunit ribosomal RNA", at positions 337 to 658 of the family's 1533-position model. The record is from RNAcentral.
UCCUACGGGGCGCAGCAGUGGGGAAUAUUGCACAAUGGGGGGAACCCUGAUGCAGCGACGCCGCGUGGGUGAAGGAGUAUUUCGGUAUGUAAAGCCCUAUCAGCAGGGAAGAACAAUGACGGUACCUGACUAAGAAGCACCGGCUAAAUACGUGCCAGCAGCCGCGGUAAUACGUAUGGUGCAAGCGUUAUCCGGAAUUACUGGGUGUAAAGGGAGCGUAGACGGCGAGGUAAGCCUGAAGUGGAAGCCCGCGGCCCAACCGCGGAACUGCUUUGGGAACUGCUUUGCUGGAGUAUGGGAGGGGU